This 468-nucleotide ribosomal RNA is filed under the name uncultured bacterium. Its description in RNAcentral is "partial 16S ribosomal RNA". It matches the Rfam family "Bacterial small subunit ribosomal RNA", at positions 28 to 507 of the family's 1533-position model. The record is from RNAcentral.
GACGAACGCUGGCGGCGUGCUUAACACAUGCAAGUCGAACGGAAAGGCCCUGCUUUUGUGGGGUGCUCGAGUGGCGAACGGGUGAGUAACAAGUGAGUAACCUGCCCUUGACUUUGGGAUAACUUCAGGAAACUGGGGCUAAUACCGGAUAGGAGCUCCUGCUGCAUGGUGGGGGUUGGAAAGUUUCGGCGGUUGGGGAUGGACUCGCGGCUUAUCAGCUUGUUGGUGGGGUAGUGGCUUACCAAGGCUUUGACGGGUAGCCGGCCUGAGAGGGUGACCGGCCACAUUGGGACUGAGAUACGGCCCAGACUCCUACGGGAGGCAGCAGUGGGGAAUAUUGCACAAUGGGCGGAAGCCUGAUGCAGCAACGCCGCGUGCGGGAUGACGGCCUUCGGGUUGUAAACCGCUUUCGCCUGUGACGAAGCGUGAGUGACGGUAAUGUGUAAAGAAGCACCGGCUAACUACGUG